UGUAUAGCCUGUCUGUAUAGCCUGCCUGUAUAGCCUGUCUGUAUAGCCUGUCUGUAUAGCCUGUCUGUAUAGCCUGUCUGUAUAGCCUGUCUGUAUAGCCUGCCUGUAUAGCCUGCCUGUACAGCCUUCCUGUAUAGCCUGUCUGUAUAGCCUGCCUGUAUAGCCUGCCUGUAUAGCCUGCCUGUAUAGCCUGCCUGUAUAGCCUGCCUGUAUAGCCUGCCUCUGCAUGUUUUGUAUGCAGUUAUGAAAACGGUUGGCGCUGCCAGUGAGUAGGGAAUGAGGAUUGUGUUGAAUAGUGUUAGGUCUCGUGUGUAGGUCUUGAUUUAAGGAGUGUUGUGAUUAUUACAGAGUUAUGUAAUCAGUGUAUGGUGUUGAUAAUACCUUAUUUGAAACCUAAAUCUUCACUGUACGUACUGUGUUUAUAAUGUCUUAUUUGCGGCUGUGAAAAGCAUAUCUCACACUCUUCUAACCCCACAGACCUUGAGAACCAUAUCAUUUUUACAAAUAAUAGACUUUAUUCUAUAAGAACCAGGUAGGACGAGUACAUUCAUAUGCAUUAGUUACUUUCCUGGAUAGAAGGUCAUCAUUCCUGAAUUAUUGUAUAGACGGGUUGGUUAGUAAAACCGAAGUGUGCAUAGCUAUGGGGCAAAACAGAUGGGGUUGGUUAGAAGAUUGUUGAUAUCAUGUCAACUAUACUUAGUCUCCAAUGUUUAUUGAAAACAAAUACAUUUGCACUUGUUGUUUCUCAAAUACAUCGUUAAAGUUGUUGGUUAGUUAACUAGCAAAUUUUUUCCAUAUUAGCAUUGACAUGAAACCAGUCAAAACACCUCAAAAUAAGACAUGGUAUCGAGAACAACAUAAAGCUACCUGAAACAAGUAACUGACCUGGUAUCGAGAACAACAUAAAGCUACCUGAAACAAGUAACUGUUUGCAAGCUAUCUGACCCAUCGAUACACACACAUCAUUUCAGUGACGUUGUCAGCCAACCCGUCUAUAUGAGGGACUUUAGUCUAGUGUACAGCAUGCAGGUAAGUGUCUGCGGAUGCCUUUGAUGUAAAUGUUUUAGUGGGCAGACGAAGGGAAUUUUUGAGUGUGCUGAGAUGAGAACAUUGCUGAUGAAAUUAGAAAGCGAGGUAGCGAGGUAGCGAUUGUGGCGUUGCCAUAUUUAGGACACUCUGUCCUCGAUAUCAUGAAUAUUAAUAUAAUACUUGUCUUUAUCAGUAGAGUUAUCAGCAUCACCAUCAUCACCAUCAUCAUCAUCAGCAGCAUUAGUCAGCUCCUUCAUCACCAUCAUCAUCAUCAUCAUCACCAUCAUCAUCAUCACCAUCAUCAUCAUCAUCAGCAGCAUUAGUCAGCACCUUCAUCAUCAUCCUCACAUUCAUCAUCACCAUCUUCAUCAGCAGCAGCAGCAGCCACAUCAGCAGUAUCAGCACCUUCAUCAUCAUCACCAUUAUUACCAUCAUCAUCAUCAUCAUCAUCAACAACAUCAUGUAAGUCUCAUGAUAUCAUGGAUUCCAAUCAUUACAGUAUUUCCGUCAAUAAUCUGCUAGCUAGAAGAACAUACACUUAACAUGUGGAUGUUAUAUUGGAGAGUGAAUCCUUAUUGGAAACCUAAUCAACCUCUGAGGUGGGUUCACAUGACAUUCUAUGGAUGAAUGUGACUUCCCUGUCUGAUGAGAUCACAGUGUAAAACACCUAUAAUUAACCUCUGAGGUGCGUUUACAGAUUACAUGCUGGAUGUUAGAAUGCUUAAAGUCCAAUCAAUUGUAGCCCAUUGGUUGGACUAUAGACAGUUGCAUAUUCUCAGUCGACAAUCUUGUUAUUUACCAAGAAUCCCAGUUGCAGAUUUAAGUGUUUAGUUUCUAACCGUCAAGCUUGUUUUCUCAUUGAAAGCAUUACAUAUUCUAUCUCUCUUGUCUAGUUUGUGCUCAGACAUUAAACACACAGGAAAUCAACUUUGGACACGAAGGAGAAUGGAAACAUGAAAUGAAGUCAAUCACUGCAUAUAGCAAGGCAGAAUAAUUCCACAAUGAUUCAGAAUGUACCUACAAUGUCUACAGUACCUUCAGAAAGUAUUCACACGCCUUUUUUCCACAUGUUAUUGUACUACACCCUACAUGUAAAAAUGAUUAAAUUGAGAUGUAAUGUCACUGGCCUACACACAAUACCCCAUACUGUCAAAGUGAACUUUUUUUAGACAUUUUUACAAAUUAUUUAAAAAUGAAAAGCUCAAAUGUCUUGAGUCAAUAAGUAUUCAACCCCUUUGUUAUGGCAAGCUAAAUAAGUUCAGGGCUAAAAAUGUGCAAGUCACAUAUUAAGUUGCAUGGACUCACUCAUGAAUUCACCAGGAGACCAAUGCUGUCUUUAAAACAGCUCAAUAGCUGAGACAAGGAGCCAAAAUCAACAACAUUGUAGUUACUCGUCAAUACUAAGCGAAUUGCUAGAGUGAAAAGAAGGAUCCAUGUCCAUUAUGUGCUUGCUUCCAUCUAGACACUAAAGUCAAACUGCAAACAAUGUGGCAUAGAAAUAAACAUUAUAUCCUGAAUACAAAGUGUUAUGUUUUGGGCAAAUCCAAACACAACACAUCGCCGAGUACCACUCUUCAUAUUUUCAAGCCAAGGUGUUGGCUGAAUCACGUAUGGGUAUGCAAGUCAUCGGCAAGGACUAGGGAAUUUUUUAGGAUAAAAAUAAACAAACUUGAGUUAAUAAGCACAGGCAAAAUCCUUGAGGAAAACCUGGUUCAGUCUGCAUUCCAACAGACUCUGGGAGACAAAUUCACCUUUCAGCAGGACAACAACCUAAAACACAAGGUCAAAUAUACACUGGAGUUGCUUUCCAAGAAAAUGUAAUUCAGUUGUUUGGACAUGAUUUGGAAAGGCACACACCUGUCUGUAUAAGGUCCCACAGUUGACAGUGCAUGUCAGACCAAAAACCAAGCCAUGAGGUCGAAGGAAUUGUCCGUAGAGCUCCGAGACAGGAUUGUGGCGAGGCACAGACCAGGGGAAGGGUAGCAAAACAUUUCUGCAGCAUUGAAGGUCCCGAAGAACACAUUGGCUUCCAUCAUUCUUAAAUGGAAGAGGUUUGGAACAUCCACGACUCUUCCUAGAGCUGGCCGCCCGGCCAAACUGAGCAGUCGGGGGAGAAGAGCCUUGGUCAGGGAGGUGACCAAGAACCUGGAAAUAGCUGUGCGACACUCACCAUCCAAACUGACAAAGCUUGAGAGGGUCUGCAGAGAAGAAUGGGAGAAACUCCCCAAAUACAGGUGUGCCAAGCUUGUAGCUUCAUACCCAAGAAGACUAAAGGCUGUAAUCGCUGCCAAAGAUGCUUCAAAAAAGUAAUGAGUAAAGAGUCUGAAUACUUAUGUAUCUCUCUCCCAUCUCUCUGCUCUUUCUCUCCCAUCAGCAAGCCUGUCUUCUAAAAGUGACAGAAAAUAGACAAUUUAAAAAAAAAAUGCGGCGUAAUUAGCUUGGCGCUGCUUCUGGACACGUCCCCUUUAAUCAGGAUCCUUCAUGCCGCCGCAAAAGCCUUCAGGAUGUCACCGUGAUGUUUGUGUUAAAAUGACCUUUCAUAUCAAUGUUCUAAUGUCCUGUUUGUGUGUAAUCAUCAACAUCCUGACUAAUGACACUGCUGUCUCUUAUUAAUUAACGUCCGUGGGAGAGGGAAACUGGUAUUCAUUUUUCCCCUUUUUGCAGGCUUAGGCGUCCCACUGACCUAAGAUGACAAACUUUAUUAUAGAAUGCCAUGCAGCCCUAAGUUCAAACAGUAUAUGUGUAAGGAGCGACGCUGGAGUAGAGAAGCAGGUAUGGGGAGUCAAACAUUUAUUCAGAACAGACAUGGGACAAGACAGAAACAACGUCAGCACACGGGUAUACAAGGACAUUUGACAAUCAAUGCUGAAGCUGGGAACAGACAGAUUUAGGGGAGGUAAUGACUACAGGUUUCUAAAAACCUGUUUUUGCUUUGUCAUUAUGGGGUAUUGUGUGUAGAUUGACGAGGGGAAAAAACAAUUUAGUCAAUUUUAGAAUACGGCAAUAACGUAACAUAACGCCAAAGGGGUCUGAAUACUUUCGGAAUGCACUGUAUGUUGGAUUGACUAUACAUGCUUAUAACCAGUUAUAGAGCAUUUUACAUGCAGGCUAAAGUGGUUACCAAAAUAUUAACUCAAAUGGAUCUGGUGUAUGUCCACUUCCCAGGACUCCAGAGCUUUUCUUUGUCUUUAAUUGAAUAAGCAGGUGAUGAAGUGCAUCUAACAGAUCUCAGAGAGGCAUACAUAUUUUUUAAGGUCAAUACUCUGAUCUCUCUCACUCUUCCUGAAAUUGUGGUUGCUGCUGGUUCCUUCUUAAAACAGUUGUUAAAAAGUGUCAAAGGAGGCUUCUUCAUAUUCAAAUCAAUGAUUUCUCCAAGUAUCAGUUCAAUAAUCCAUUAGUACCAUUCCCAUUUCAAAGAUCACUGCCAAAGCUUGUUGAUUAAAGUGUAUGGGUAGCCGAGCCAUCUGAGCCUGUCGUUUUCAAACAGUCUAAUUUCACAUUGUUUACAGCCAGCAACGUGCAAUUCAUCCACACCCUGAAAACAAAGAAUGAUAAAGAGCAAAUCAGCUCCAUUGGUUAGAUGGUUAAAAAUGGGCGGCGUUGUUUCUUUGGGACUAAUGUCACUUGGCAUUUUCUUUGAUUCAGGAUAAGGUGAUGAAAUAAUACAAAUCUAAAAAAUAUUUCAAAUCUCAAAUAAGUAGUUGUCUUGGUUGAAUCAUCUUCAUUAAAAUUAGCUUUUUAUAAUCCAUUUUCAGAACUAUGAUAACUGAUACUUUACUAUUGUUGAAGUAACAUCUGUCAUGACUUCCCCUCACCAUAGUAGUAUUUCCAUUUAAACCAGUGUCAUUUCAGCUCUGCCUUCAAUUCAUGUGACUGAAAUAGUCUUUGGCUCUCCUCUCUUUGUCAUCUUUCACAUGGCUAAUCCUUCAACUUAGUACAUUAUUCCGUCGCUCAUUUAUCAUACUUCUGGCAGAUUACAUCAUGUCACACCUUAGAAAAAGGUGCUCCCACCGUUUUGUCUUUGUCAUGUUCCAGACAAUCCCCCUUUUCCGUUUCUACUCAAGUAGUCCUUGAGAUGGAUUGCUACCUCUUUGCCGCAUAGUUAACUUUAAGGUGUCAGAGUAAGACUCUAAGGAGGGCCCCUUUGUCUCUGAUAGCUGCCAGCGUAGACAGACACUUCUUAGUGAAUUCAUUAAACAUGUGAAUGCUAAUUGCUAGCAUUCAAUAAAGAUUGUUUGCCCCUAGGGUGCAAAAUGAGAUGCACAGUUCAAUUGAAAAUCUUUACUAAUCUUUACUGACACUGGCAAUUUAGAAAGCUGGGUGUGGCAGAUUACCUGGCUGUUAGGGAGGAUCGCUUGACCUCGAAAAAAGAAGGUAGCGAAAGAGAGAGAGAGAGGGAGGGAGAGUGAGAAUGAGAGAGAGAGGGGGCGAAGUAGAGGGAGAGAGAGAUUGAUAGAGGGAGUAAGAGGGAGAUAGAGGUGGAAGGAGAGAGAGGGAGAGAGAGAGGGAGUAAGAGGGCGAUAGAGGUGGAAGGAGAGAGAGGGAGAGAGAGAGGGAGUAAGAGGGAAAGAGAGGUGGAAGGAGAGAGGGAGAGAAAGGGAGAGGGAGAGAGAAAUGGAAAGGGAGAGGGAGAGAGAAAUGUAAGGAGAGAGGGAGAGAAAGGGAGAGGGAGAGAGAAAUGGAAGGAGAGAGGGAGAGAGGGAGAGGGAGAGAGAAAUGGAAGGAGAGAGGGAGAGAAAGGGAGAGGGAGAGAGAAAUGGAAGGAGAGAGGGAGAGAAAGGGAGAGGGAGAGAGAAAUGGAAGAAGAGAGGGAGAGAAAGGGAGAGGGAGAGAAAUGGAAGGAGAGAGAGGGAAAGAGAGCGGAGGAGAAAGAGAAAGAUGGAGAGAGAAAAAGAUUACAUUGAUUUGAUGAGUAAAUCGAUAUGGUCAAAGAUGACUGAGUACUGUGUCUCAGUAAACUGGCAUGGCACUAUGAGGGAAUCUAGCGAACACUUUUGAUUGACCAACAAUAAUGCUGACACCUCUUUGUCUCGUUGCUAUUUCCUCCUAUUGGUCCUUUUGUUUAGAGGUAUGGAUGGAUAACCCCUCCCACAUUCCCUUUCUGUCUGGGCGUCCAUGUUGUUUUAAAAUGAAUGCCCCAAACAUGGGAGAGGGUGGGUGGGAAAUAUAUUCCAACACUCCAUGUAUUGACAGUAGAGUUUGACCAUGUGAUUUACUCUCAGCACGUAAUAAUUGCAUCAUAGACCAGUUUUAUUCUUCUUUAUGGUUCUUGCUCAAUGACCUGAGACUUAUUUGAUUUAACAUCAAAAGAGAUCUAAGACAGCUAGCUACUGAGAGAGGUUUUAGUAAUCACUCACAGCUUUCACAGACUAGAUGGGUCUUGUUGUGUUAUCUAGUUUUGUAAUCACUCACAGCUUUCACAGACUAGAUGGGUCUUAUUUUACGAUGUUGUUUUGUAAUCACUCACAGCUUUCACAGACUAGAUGGGUCUUGUUGUGUUAUCUAGUUUUGUAAUCACUCACAGCUUUCACAGACUAGAUGGGUCUUGUUUUACGAUGUUGUUUUGUAAUCACUCACAGCUUUCACAGACUAGAUGGGUCUUGUUUUACGAUGUUGUUUUGUAAUCACUCACAGCUUUCACAGACUAGAUGGGUCUUGUUUUACGAUGUUGUUUUGUAAUCACUCACAGCUUUCACAGACUAGAUGGGUCUUGUUUUACGAUGUUGUUUUGUAAUCACUCACAGCUUUCACAGACUAGAUGGGUCUUGUUUUACGAUGUAGUUUUGUAAUCACUCACAGCUUUCACAGACUAGAUGGGUCUUGUUUUAUGAUGUCGUUUUGUAAUCACUCACAACUUUCACAGACUAGAUGGGUCUUGUUUUACGAUGUUGUUUUGUAAUCACUCACAGCUUUCACAGACUAGAUGGGUCUUGUUUUACAAUGUUGUUUUGUAAUCACUCACAGCUUUCACAGACUAGAUGGGUCUUGUUGUGUUAUCUAGUUUUGUAAUCACUCACAGCUUUCACAGACUAGAUGGGUCUUGUUGUGUUAUCUAGUUUUGUAAUCACUCACAGCUUUCACAGACUAGAUGGGUCUUGUUUUACAAUGUUGUUUUGUAAUCACUCACAACUUUCACAGACUAGAUGGAUCUUGUUUUAUGAUGUUGUUUUGUAAUCACUCACAGCUUUCACAGACUAGAUGGGUCUUGUUUUACGAUGUUGUUUUGUAAUCACUCACAACUUUCACAGACUAGAUGGGUCUUGUUUUAUGAUGUCGUUUUGUAAUCACUCACAACUUUCACAGACUAGAUGGGUUUUAUUUUACGAUGUUUUGUAAUCACUCACAGCUUUCACAGACUAGAUGGGUCUUGUUUUACGAUGUAGUUUUGUAAUCACUCACAACUUUCACAGACUAGAUGGGUCUUAUUUUACGAUGUUUUGUAAUCACUCACAACUUUCACAGACUAGAUGGGCCUUAUUUUACGAUGUUUUGUAAUCACUCAAAGCUUUUUCCCCUUGAUUGGAACAAGAGAAAUGCCCUCCCACAGAAAAGUGAUGAAAUGACAAAGGACUAUCACAAUGCAAAGUGGCCGGGCUAAACUUUACAUAUUGGUGCCUUGGGAAUGCUAUGCUCUACUUCCCAACCUGGUGCAUAAACGGUUUGGACCCUUUCCCUGCCCAGUACUCCAACCCACCUUGUAAACCAAGACACCACUCUGUUUUUCAAUCUGCUCUUCCCACACAUUUUGACAUUUCCUCAUCUCCUCUCUUUAACGCGAUGCCCCCUGUAGGAUUGAUAUCACGGCAAUCCUACCAGAUACUGUAGCCUGUGCCUCAAAUGGCACCCUAUUCCUUACAAAGUGCACUACUUUUGACCAGAGCCCUCUGCGCCUGGAAAAAAAAGGGAAUAUGAUGCUAUUUGGAAUGUAGCCAUAGUCUCCCCUGCCAUCUGCCUAGGAGGGGAAGUGCUCUGCCAGCACCUACCUGCCACUAACAGCAGGUGUUAGGAGAUUAAGGCCAACAAAACUGCUGUCCUCUGGGGAGGCAGGCUUAUGCUGCUUCGGCCAACUUUAUUUUCUGGAUUUUAUUUGACUUCCAUGCAUGAUUUCAAUUUGUUAGUGAUGGAUUAAUGAUGAGGAUAUUAGAUAUCUUCUAGGACAUGGUUGGGAGAUUUUAAAGAUGAAAUAGUAUUGAAAAGUUUCUCUUAUUUUUGUAAUGUUUACAGUAUGUUGCCUCGGUAACACAGAAACACACAUAACCCGUGAAGAUCAAAGCCUCAUUACAAUAGACUUCCUUUCUGGACAAUGUCUCUACAUGCCCCUAUGUGGACCUGCACUAGAUAGACCUUUAGGACGUCAUGUGCGGACAACUCAGAGGAGAUUUAAUUUAGCGCUGUGCACCGCUGAUAGGACUGCUGUCUGUGUUCUGCAACUAACACUUCACCCAGUACAGUACAGCUCGUCAGUGACUCCGAUCUCCAGAUUACACUAACAGUACUGUAGUUCCUUAGAACCCACUACUCCCUCCCCAGUGAUGAUGUCACACGUUUGCCUGCCUGACAUUAUUUCAGUGCUGCUGAGUGUCUUUGUGUCAAAGUCUCCCCAGAAUUGGUCCUAAGUGCACCAACCGCCUCCUCAUCAUCCUCCCAGCUCCGUUUUUCUUCUUCUAAAUCUUAUAACAGUUUAGUUUAAAAGCUUCUGGCACGGCUUUUCCCUCCAGACUGAUGUUUUAAUCGUGAAGUAAGAACUAGACGGCUGCAACCUGUCUUCGCUCAGGAGUUCACUCAAACGAACCUCACACCAGGAAGGAAUAUGCUACACCGUUGCUCUGGCAGAUUGUGGUUAGAUGGGGUAAUGUUGUUACUAUACAUACACCACACACACACACACACACACACACACACACACACACACACACACACACACACACACACACACACACACACACACACACACACACACACACACACACACACACACACAAACACAAAAA
Salvelinus fontinalis (brook trout) is the source of this 9020-nucleotide long non-coding RNA. RefSeq lists it as uncharacterized. Lineage: Eukaryota; Metazoa; Chordata; Actinopteri; Salmoniformes; Salmonidae. The transcript is spliced from 2 exons. The record is from RefSeq and is a predicted model, not a curated record.